RNAcentral lists this ribosomal RNA (148 nucleotides) under Cuphea schumannii. Its description in RNAcentral is "5.8S ribosomal RNA". It matches the Rfam family "5.8S ribosomal RNA". Rfam says of the family: 5.8S ribosomal RNA (5.8S rRNA) is a component of the large subunit of the eukaryotic ribosome. It is transcribed by RNA polymerase I as part of the 45S precursor that also contains 18S and 28S rRNA. Functionally, it is thought that 5.8S rRNA may be involved in ribosome translocation. The record is from RNAcentral. Lineage: Eukaryota; Viridiplantae; Streptophyta; Magnoliopsida; Myrtales; Lythraceae.
UUCGGCAACGGAUAUUUGGUUUUCGCAUGGAUGAAGAACGUAGCGAAAUGCGAUACUUGGUGUGAAUUGCAGAAUCCCGUGAACCAUGGAUCUUUGAACGCAAGUUGCGCCGACGCCAUUCGGCGAGGGACGUUGCCUGGGUGUACGC